This is a non-coding RNA of Parasteatoda tepidariorum (common house spider), 1201 nucleotides long. Lineage: Eukaryota; Metazoa; Arthropoda; Arachnida; Araneae; Theridiidae. The record is from RefSeq and is a predicted model, not a curated record.
AUGGAAAAUAAAGCGAUGGAUUUAAGUCCUCCUAAAAAACGACAGAAGAAAUCUUACAUAAGUAAAGCUGAGAAAGAAAUAAUAUUGAACAUUUAUAAAACAGAAGUGCAUUCAAAACCAGAUGUUCCAAUCAUUGAUGUGGCUGACCAUGCGGCUUCUGCAGCGGGAGUUAGCACAGCUUCUGUUUUCAGAUUUAUCAAAGAAUAUAAAAAGGAUGGACGAUUUCGACAAAAAUGCUGUAAGAAGAAAAGUAACGAAAUUCCGACAAUAAACAAAGUUCUCAAAGCUGUGAACGAUGAUUCUGAUUUACCAAACUUUAAAAGAACGACAUUUUAUUCCCUGUUAAAAAAACUAGGCUUCUAUCAUCAAAAACGAGGACGGAACAGCUCACUCAUUGAAAAAGAAGAAAUAAUUUUGUGGAGGCGAAGAUAUUUAAGAACAAAUAACAAAAUGAGACAAGAAGGAAGAAAAAUUAUUACAUGGAUGAGACAUGGCUGAAUGCUGGACACACGCAAGACAAAGUGUGGAAUGAUACUUCCAUUAUCUCGUCAAAACAGGCAUUUUUAUCUGGUCUUUCUACAGCAUUAAAAUCGCCUUCUGGCAAAGGUGAGAGACUUAUUAUUACGCACAUAGGUAGCGACGCGGGCUUUUUAAAUCAAACAAAAACAAGGAUUACCAUAAGGAUAUGAAUGCAGCGUGUUUCGAAGAAUGGUUCGAGAAAAUUCUACCCUUUCUAGAGCCGAACUCUGUCGUUGUGAUGGACAAUGCACCAUAUCACUCUCGUAAAGAAGAAAAAAUUCCUAACACAUCAUCGACUAAGCAAGUAAUUAAAGAUUGGCUAAAAUCUAAAAACAUUGUUAGUGAUGAAGAAGGUAUGCUAAAAACAGAACUACUGGAUAUAGUGAAAGCUCAUAAGCACAGAUAUGACAAAUUCGCGGUGGAUGAACUUGCUAGACGUAAUACUAUAAUGAUUUUAAGGCUUCCCCCCUAUCACGCUGAAUUAAAUCCAAUUGAGCUGAUUUGGGCCCAAAUGAAAGGUUCAGUGGCCAAAGAAAACAAAACUUUCAAGUUAUCGGAAGUAGAGGGAUUCUGCAUGAAAAGUUUAAAUGAAAUUGGAGUUGAAAAGUGGAAAAAUUGCAUAGAGCAUACUCAGAAAAUCGUGGAUGUGGGAUUUGGACGAAGCCAUCGUAAACACCGUUAA